GGCAGCCGCGGUAAUUCCAGCUCCAAUAGCGUAUAUUAAAGUUGUUGCAGUUAAAAAGCUCGUAGUUGAAUUUCGAGAUCAGUACGCUGGUCGUGCCUUCGGUAUGCACUGGUGUCUCUGGUUUCUCCCUUCUGAAGAACCGUCAUGUCAUUAAGUUGAUGUGGCGGGGAAUCAGGACUGUUACUUUGAAAAAUUAGAGUGUUUAAAGCAGGCUCGCGCUUGAAUACAUUAGCAUGGAAUAAUGAAAUAGGACGUUUGACCCUAUUUUGUUGGUUUCUAGGAUCGACGUAAUGAUUAAUAGGGAUAGUUGGGGGCAUUAGUAUUCAAUCGUCAGAGGUGAAAUUCUUGGAUUUGUUGAAGACUAACUACUGCGAAAGCAUUUGCCAAGGAUGUUUUCAUUAAUCAGGAACGAAAGUUAGGGGAUCGAAGACGAUCAGAUACCGUCGUAGUCUUAACCAUAAACUAUGCCGACUAGGGAUCGGAUGAUGUUAAUUUUUUAAUGA
Molecule: ribosomal RNA, 503 nt
Filed under: uncultured Glomus
Lineage: Eukaryota; Fungi; Glomeromycota; Glomeromycetes; Glomerales; Glomeraceae
Description: SSU rRNA
Rfam family: Eukaryotic small subunit ribosomal RNA
Source: RNAcentral